Molecule: long non-coding RNA, 2501 nt
Organism: Pan troglodytes (chimpanzee)
Lineage: Eukaryota; Metazoa; Chordata; Mammalia; Primates; Hominidae
Exons: 6
Source: RefSeq, a predicted model, not a curated record
AACAUCCCAGGGAAUUGUGUCACUCCCAUUGAGCAGGUGUGGGGGCCUCUCCCACAUGGUCCAGGUCCACCACUCUGUCAAAGGUCGCACAGCCCAGACAAAAACAGGACACAGCAGUGUGUGAAUGAGCCGGGCUUUCUCCUUCCCUCCACGUAAUAAAAGGUGCCUGAGGUUGUUGAAACACAGUCCAUUUCUCCUGGGAAUGACAAGAAUUUGAGGGAUGCUGACUUUCAAGGAAUACUGCAUGACAGGCAUCAAGAUAAACCUGAUGAAGAAAACAUAGGCCAGAAUCUCGGAAUCGGGAGCAAAGUAAUACAGCUUCGGGGACAGGCACGUAAUGAGGUCAUGAUGUAGCAGACUCCCUGCAGGACUGGCGGCCCCUGUUCCCUGGGCUGUUCUGGCUCUUUCAGGACUGCACAGUGUAUCUGAGAGAGGAUUUUCAGGAGGCCAGAAAAUCAAGCUGGAGGGAUUCUCAGCGUGUUGGGCGAUUGCUACCUGUUUUGAGUCAGACCAUUGCCACGUCCUUUUCCCCACCUUGGAGACUUCAGCCAGACUAAUCUUCCUUAGAAAUUACUUUCAUCUGUCUCCUUGCUCAAGCAUUUCCGAAAGCUCAGUGCACUGCACUACGUCAGCCUCUGUGUCCUCCAGGAUCUGAUCCUGCUAUUCUGGAGAACAAACUCCUCCCACCAUCCAAGUGCCCCUCAGCAAAUUGCUCAAAUGUCGGUGUGCUCUCAUGAACAGAAACGAUGGCACAGUGGGUCCUGCUCAAGACUUCCUCUCAAUUAUUCAUAGGUCUUGGGGGUUUUUUGUCUGAAUAUCAGGCAAAGAGGAAGGACAGCUACGAUGGAGGAGUCUCCUACCUCCCUUGUGGUCGUCACUGUAGUGCUCAGUUGAAUGGUGUGUCCAUUGGGGUUGGAGUCCCCAUCCUGUUCUGGGUCCUGGCCCCCCACAGGCUCCAGGGACAUAACCCUUCCAGUUCAGGAUCAUGUGCUCGGGCACUGUUCCCUGAGGUGGGACUCUGGGCUGUAGCAGCUGCUUUUGAAGCAUGUUCCAGCUGCAACCACGUGCUUGGACGACACCAGCUCUUCCCACAUACUCUUCCCCAGCUCUUGUGUUGAGUUUGGCUUCCACCUUCCUUCAGCUGAGAAAUAGACCUAGAACACAGCCUCAGAUAAUUCUCACGGUGGGAGGUUUCAAAGAUGAUGAAAAACAUCAUGAUACCAGACACAACACCUCAAGGAAGAAGGCACAGUGAGUGAGACACAGCAGACACGACUGACUGCAGAACCAAUCCUGCACACUCUUAGACACUGGAAUUGUCUAAGCAUCAGAACGGACACGAUUGCUAAGAAUUCCUUCAGAUCUGCCCAUGGCGUGGAGCCACUUCUUCAACGUUCCAGAGCCUAAACCCUGCGAAUCAUGGGUUGCUGGCUGGCAGACGCUUCUCUUGAGAGUUGAUAGUGUCCUUGGGCCAACACUCAACCAAGGAGCCCUGCGGUGAGAUCACCUGUCACUCUAAGGAGAGAAACUGAUUCCUACAGAACAGAGCUGGGCUGCAGUGGCCUCAGGGCAAUAAUGUCACAGGCCUUUGAACGCAUUCAACAAAACUCCCAGUCUCUGGUUAACAAGCAAAUGCGCCUGAAAGAAUGGGACAGAUAAUGACAGGUGAAUGCCCCCCGACCUGUGUGGCCAAUGGCCCGGCAGGACUGGCAUUACUCCAAAAUUGUCAGAAAUGCAGGCUCUCAGGCCCCGCCCCACCACCCAAACCAGAAACCAUGUGGACAAGAUCUCCAGGUGAUUCAAAUGCACAAUAGGCCUGCAUGAGUAAUGCAUAUCAAGAAAUCUUCGCUUCUCUUAACUACCUAGGGGGACACCAAGGGAACCUCCUAGAAGAAGUCAUGGAUGGGAUGGGGCUGGAUGCCACCCCCUCAAAGGAGCACAGACCUGCUGGCCCCCCUCCCUCCCUCUGCAGCCCAAGCUCAUGAGCUGUGGGGAGUGGGAGCAGGGGGUCCCUCCCACAUCCUCAGGAAGAAGCCACCAUGUCAUUGGGAGCCUGUGUUACACAUCAGUGUGUGAGGAAAGAAUCUGGAAACAACUGACUAAGAGGAUGGCAUGAUCUCAGCUCACUACAACCUCUGCUUCCUGGGUUUGAGCGAUUCUCCUGCCACAGCCUCCCGAGUAGCUGGGAUUACAGGCGUGUACCAACACACCCGGCUAAUUUUUUGCAUUUGGAGAUGGAGUUUCACUCUAUUGGCCAGGCUGGUCACAAACUCCUCAACUCAAGUGAUCCACCCACCUUGGCCUCCCAAAAUGCUGAGAUUACAGGCGUGAGCCACCACUCCCAGCCAGGUAGUGACAGUUUUUAGAGGCUCUGGGUGCUUGGCCCUUGCCUUAAACUGAAUGCUUUAAAAGGCCUUUGAUCUCUGUCAAUAAAAUUGCAAGUGUGUACACACAUUUGACUUAACAAUCAUAAUAAUAAAACCUAAUGAACAGUCAAGACA